ACGUAGGAGGCAAGCGUUAUUCGGAUUUACUGGGCGUAAAGCGCGUGCAGGCGGUUCGGAAAGUUGGAUGUGAAAGCUCCUGGCUUAACUGGGGGAGGGCGUUUAAUACUUCCAGACUUGAGAGUCGGAGAGGGAGGCGGAAUUCCGGGUGUAGUGGUGAAAUGCGUAGAUAUCCGGAGGAACACCAGUGGCGAAAGCGGCCACCUGGACUACAACUGACGCUCAGGCGCGAAAGCGAGGGUAGCAAACGG
RNAcentral lists this ribosomal RNA (251 nucleotides) under uncultured prokaryote. Its description in RNAcentral is "partial 16S rRNA". It matches the Rfam family "Bacterial small subunit ribosomal RNA", at positions 525 to 775 of the family's 1533-position model. The record is from RNAcentral.